This 191-nucleotide microRNA precursor is filed under the name Oryza brachyantha (malo sina). Its description in RNAcentral is "MIR812 microRNA precursor family". It matches the Rfam family "MIR812 microRNA precursor family", at positions 15 to 189 of the family's 205-position model. Lineage: Eukaryota; Viridiplantae; Streptophyta; Magnoliopsida; Poales; Poaceae. The record is from Rfam by way of RNAcentral.
AAUAGGAUCGUUUUUUGUUUUUCCGUGUUUAACGUUUGACCAUUCGUCUUAUUUAAAAAAAUUGUAUAAAAGCUUAAAAAAAUUAGUCACGCAUAAAGUACUAUUUAUGUUUUAUCAUCUAGUAAGAAUAAAAUAUUAAUCGCAAAAUUUUUUUAAAUAAGAUGAAUGGUCAAACAUUGAACACGGAAAAC